GCCAGGUGCAGUGGUGCAUGCCUGUAGUCCCAGCUACUCGGGAGGCUGAGGCUGGAGGAUCGUUUGAGUCCAGGAGUUCUGGGCUGUAGUGCGCUAUGCUGAUCAGGUGUCCACACCAAGUUCGGCAUCAGUAUGGUGACUUCCGGCAGCGGGGACGACCAGGUUGCCUAGGGAGGGGUGAACCGGCCCAGGUUGGAAACGGAGCAGGUCAAAACUCCCAUGCUGAUCAGUAGUGGGACCACACCUGUGAAUAGCCACUGCACUCCAGCCUGGGCAACAUAGUGAGAUCCCAUCUCU
RNAcentral lists this signal recognition particle RNA (297 nucleotides) under Cebus imitator (Panamanian white-faced capuchin). RNAcentral's name for it is "Metazoan signal recognition particle RNA (ENSCCAG00000006221.1)". It matches the Rfam family "Metazoan signal recognition particle RNA". From Rfam's summary of the family: The signal recognition particle (SRP) is a universally conserved ribonucleoprotein. Lineage: Eukaryota; Metazoa; Chordata; Mammalia; Primates; Cebidae. The record is from RNAcentral.